Long non-coding RNA from Etheostoma cragini (Arkansas darter), 146 nucleotides. RefSeq lists it as uncharacterized. NCBI's taxonomy places the organism in Eukaryota, Metazoa, Chordata, Actinopteri, Perciformes, Percidae. The record is from RefSeq and is a predicted model, not a curated record. The transcript is spliced from 3 exons.
CUGUAUUUAGUUAGUUUAAUUUUAUUUCUGUGUCAUGCCAAACAUUUGGCCCAUCCAACAUGGGAUUACAAGACACCACAAACUUAUUUAGCAAACGUCUUCUGGUCGCAUUAACAAAUAAUUUGGAGAAAUACAUGAAUAGAAAU